Molecule: non-coding RNA, 147 nt
Filed under: Otolemur garnettii (small-eared galago)
Lineage: Eukaryota; Metazoa; Chordata; Mammalia; Primates; Galagidae
Source: Rfam by way of RNAcentral
GCCGGGUGUUGUGGUGGGCACCUGUAGUCCCAGCUACUUGGGAGGCUGAGGCAAGAGAAUCGCCUGAGCCCAGGAGUUGGAGGUUGCUAUGAGCUGUGUGAUGCCAUGGCACUCUACCAAGGGCAAUAAAGUGAGACUUUGUCUCUA